This 227-nucleotide unclassified non-coding RNA is filed under the name Hevea brasiliensis (rubber tree). Lineage: Eukaryota; Viridiplantae; Streptophyta; Magnoliopsida; Malpighiales; Euphorbiaceae. The record is from RNAcentral.
AUCAAAAGCUGCAAAUUUAUGGCAUCAAAUGUAAAAAGGCCAAACAUGGACUUUUGCAUUUCUCUUUUAAUUAACUAGUUAAUUUCUCUUUCAAAUGUUGAAUCGGUAAAGCAUAAUCUUGUUUCUCUGGUUUCUAUCUUCCUUUUGAUUACUUUACGUAGUGUCUUCUCUAUGUGGAAUUGAUAUAACUAGAUCUAUUGGCAUUGCAGUGCAUUGAUGGACUGUGU